GACCUUAGUCCUUUGCAUCAUCAUAAACCUUGUGUUCACUCCAUCCAAAUUCUCACUGAUUUUAGCUAAGUGUGUGAUUCGCCGUACGAUCGACGCAGCCGGCUGUUGUGCCGGCGCAGGACUAUCUUCGACAUCCUCCAAAUACUUCACCGGAGGGCUCUCCACGCACGACGACGCCUCUUAUCCAACUGUAUUGAAAAAGACUCAUCCAACUGACUCAUAUCCAUUAAUUUUUUUUUAUUUUUUAAAUAGUAGCAUGUGCAUUGCACUCGCAUGCACAAAAUAACGGAUGAUGCUCAUCCAUAUGAGUCGACCUCGAUCGAGUCGCCCCACCCUGCAAUGGUCGACUCAUACCGCCAAAUCGACUCGAAUCGGGCGGAUGAGUCUAUCAACGUGGGUGCUCUAAAUUAUUAAGAGCUCAUUCUUAUAAUUAAGUUAUUUAUGAACUUAUUUUCUCAAAUAUUUUUUCAAGUAUUUAUAAGUUGUUUUAAGGUUAUUACUCAAAAACGAUGGGAGUGAGUACAAUAUACACAUAAAAUUAGCUAAUUAUGAAAAACAAUAAAUUGUUUCAAUGGCUCACUUUUAUAAACAGAAAAAGCACAGGAACCCAAAAUCACACAGCCAAUAAGCAUUCCCCUCUCUUUGCUAUUUAUGUUUAGGUAAUUACAUCACAUACAAAAUCACACAGCCAAUACUCAUUUCCCUUUCUCUGCUAUUUUUUACACAAAUACAAAUACAAUACAUGGCCAAAUUUUAUCUAUAUUUAAAAGUUGGUAGCCAAAAAUAGCAAGAUUACUGUACAUACAAAAUCAAUGCUUUCUUUGUUAGCUUGUGUGAUUGUGUUGAGCAUCAACUUUUCUCUUAGUAUAAUAUUAUUAAAAUUGAAAGCAGAAAAACGAGAGUUCAUAUAGUUUUAGUGAGAGAAAUGCAUACACAUUAGAUCUCUCUCUCUCUCUCACACACACACACACACACACUCAGGCAGACUGAAUACGCAGCGACGGCGAGUUAAUCUCCGGUGAAGUUCAGUUCCGGUACCGACGAGUGAGCUUACGAGCUCAACUCUCUCUCUCUCUCUCUAUAUAUAUAUAUAUGUGCAUGUAGUGAGCAAAUACAUAUAUCUCAUCUCACACACUAAUGAAACACAAAAAUACACUCACACAGAGAUGUAUGUGUUAGUUUUUUUAGAAAAUGAUACAACCACUAGAGAGAGAAGAGAAUCUUGUUUUUUUUUUUUUGCGAAGAGAUUAAUCUGUUUUUGUUCCUUCAUUGUUGAAGAAAUUUUGCUUUAACUGGCCACGCUAAAGUAUUCCAAUGUAAGAGAUUUUUUUAAUGCUUCUCAUCUUCCAUUUUUAGUUACAUAAAUUCCAUUACAAACCAACGUUCAUGUGUAUUAAAUACUAUGAUAUCAUAAAUAUACAAGUUACAAUCUAAAAAACAUAAGGAAAUAUAAAAAAUAAUGUGUGAUUUCAUUCUUUUUAUUAUCAAAAAGCAUUGUUCCAAGUUACAGGAAUUUCACAAAUAUUUAAUUUUCCAUUUAUCUUUCAAAAAUAAAGCUACAAUGUUUAUUAAGUAAAUACUUGUUGUUGACAAUUUCCAGGGUUUGUCUUAACAGAUUUAGCACCUGAAGAAAUUCACAGCUGAUUCAAGAAAAAGAGUGUUUGUGCUCUUCAACUUCAAAAAAUGGUAUGCCUCCCUUAAGCUCCCUAUCCAAGUAAUGGCACCCUGCUAUUGUGUUGAAUUAAUAUAUACAAGUUGAAGGAAUGUGAUGUUGCCUUUUCAUUUGAAUGUGGUAUAUAUCUCUAUAAUAGUAUGCAUUUUCUUGAUACAUAAUCCUACUUGUAAGUGCAAGCUGUAUAUAUUUUUUUUCAGCAUCAGUAAUGUGCUGUAGCUUUGAUGAUUUAAGAAAUAAAAAGGAAUUUGUUCAUUGUUAAAGAUUUGCUAUUUGAAAUUCAAAGCCUAUCUAAAGCUAAUAUUGUGAUUUAGAGUUAUAGACAGUCAAAGAAACAUGAAGAAGCUACAAAGACAUUCUUCUCUUGUGUUUCUGAGAGAACAAGGUCCAAAAGAGCCGUCUACUUAGGGAUCACUGCACAAACACAGGGGAUUCCUUCCAGCUCUUACAAUGAUAGUAUAAGAGAACGGAAGAGGAAGAGACAAACGAAGCCAAAAAAUACUGGUACUUUCAUAAAUAUGUGUAUAAUCAAACUUCAAAGGCAUUUAACUGUUUGUUUGUAAAAAAGAAAUUGUUGCAUAAGCUUCUCUUGGCUUGUAGUGUUUAUUUGCAUAUUAUUUCAAUGUGCAGGGAACAACAAUGUAGACGUGGAUAUGAAUCUACCUCAGAUAGAGUGGAUUGAUGAAUCUGUCUUCAAUCAAAUACGUUCUGCAUCAAAGAUAAGGGGCUCGACUCAUGCAGCCAGUUCUUGGAAGAAUGUUGGCAGUCCAAGCAACAAACCAUCUGCCUCUGUGGAAAAAUCGGCUGAGGAUUUCAGCCAUCUUCCUGUUCAAGAAGGUUAGUACAUGGAAUGCAUUUUAUCUGCUUGCUACUUCCCAAAUCUAGCUUAUUUUUGCUUGAUAUAUAGUAAUCCCUGCAUUUAGGCAAUGACAAAUACAUUAGCAUGCUGCUGUGCUUUCAUUAGAAAAUAUAUGGUUCUAUAGAUAAAGGGGAUCCAUAAAUUAGUGCUUGCUAAAAGAUUGGUUCCACAUCUGUGUUGUAUUCAUUCAAAUGUAUAAGUUUUGCUUCAGACUGAGAAAUGCAUAAGUUUUCUUUUCUGGUGUAGCCACCAAAUAAUGAUGAUUUUAUCCCAAAAUUAGCCACCAAGAGCUGCAUUGGCUGAUUAUCUGGAAAUGCUUGCUUGUAAUUUUUUGUGAUGCUCAGAGAGUGGCAGCGAGUAUAUGACGCCUGAGGAUCUUGAGAUCCAGAGAGUUGAUGAAGCUGAACUCCCGAAUAGGAAAACACAUUUCACAUCAAAGAGAGGGCAGUCAGAAAUGUUAGGCCUUUGUGAGUCUCCUCAUCAUUCCGUAAACUGCAGUUUAAGAGAUUAUUCCACUGCAUCUGAAACAUUGGCAGACGACUCAACUUCAUUGUCGAAUAAAGGUGACAAAGUCGUGUCUUUUUGAUACUCGGUCUGUUGAUGUUCAGUUCUUAUACUUUCUAUUGUUUUAACCAUGAUAUUGUUAAGCUAAGGUAUAUAUACUUCUGCAAUGAAGAUAGGAGUUUCAGAGAUGUUACGAGUAAGGGAAAUGGUGAAGGUGUGCUUGACAAAGGCAAAGCUCCCUUAUAUAGGCAAGGAUACUCUGCCAUCAGCUCUAAGAAGAAGAGGGCUGACAUUGUGAAAAUAUCUUCUAAAGGUAAUGAUACAUGUUUAAUGUGGUUUUGAAGUUGAAAUAGAUAAUGGAAGCAUGAUGAUUUUCUUUUCUUUAGUGAGCCGAGAUGAAGAUAUGGAUGAUGAAGAGCUUGAAAUUGAGAUGAUUGACGAGUCUGAGUUCAGGAAGCGUAGGAGACGUUUUGCUUCAAAGAUUGGAUCCUCGAGCAGUGAAGAGCAAGAUGAAGAACAUAUUGCUGGCACUUCUGCAAGGAAUGUUAGAAAAAUGAGCAAAAAGAAACCAUCUUCCAUCAAGAAUGAUAGAAACAAACAGAGGGGAAAAGCUUCUGUCUCAGCAUUGAAGAAGAAAGGUCCAGCAUGGAAUAAGCGCGUUGAGCAGGAGAUUGGAAGCGAAGAGCGCAGACAGAAACCUUCGUUUAGCUGGAUGAAUCCACGGUUCGAUCAUAUUUUGAAAGAAUACCACUACGAAAAAUUUGUAAGAAUCUCUCCACUCUCAAAUUCUGUGUGUGAAAGGCAUGGCAUCAUUACUAACUUGGCUUGAGUAAAUCUCAGCAUCUUCCAAGUAAUUUUGUUAAGGAGUCCGGCUUGACGGGAAAGAUGAAAGUAUGGCUCAAGUAUCCGGGCGGGAAGAGUGUACGCGUGCAGUUGAACUCGACCAAGGGCCGGGUUGAUAUCGGUGCAGGUUGGGCUCUGUUCUGGAGAACGAACAACAUCAUCUAUAACAAAAAUUAUUCUUUUGAGUUCAUUCCAACAAAUGUGAUUUGGGUGCAACCAAUAGAUUCAUGAAUGAACAUGCUCAGAUUUGUGUUUGGGAUUUCUCAAGUUCUUUCAUGUAAACUGUAGCUUUUGCUUCUUCUGCUGACAUGUAGUAACAUUUGCAGAGGCCUCUCUUCUUCUCUAUAUCUUUCUCUCUUCCAAAAUCUUGUGAUAAUUGAUAGAAUUAGGUGGGUUUGAAAACAGAGGAUUCUAUUUACAUUUGAGGGAGCCAAAUAUAUGAGUUGCUUUCCGGUUAAUUCAUUCAUUAUAAUUUAAAACAGAGUUUUUUAAUUUGAAACAUAGUUUCUUUCUAAUUAAUUAUAAUUUAUAUUCAAACACUAUAUAUGACGAUUAAUCGUCUAAUCAUCUUUACAAACCAAGACUAACUCCAAAAGCUCUACAUCUCUAGUUAUGUGACCUUAGUCCUUUGCAUCAUCAUAAACCUUGUGUUCACUCCAUCCAAAUUCUCACUGAUUUUAGCUAAGUGUGUGAUUCGCCGUACGAUCGAUGCAGCCGGCUGUUGUGCCGGCGCAGGUGCAUCUUCGACAUCCUCCAAAUACUUCACCGGAGGGCUCUCCACGCACGACGCCGCCUCUUCUAUAAUGCUCUUGAGAGCCUCCACCACCUUGCUCAUCCUUGGUCU
RNAcentral lists this long non-coding RNA (4722 nucleotides) under Salvia miltiorrhiza (redroot sage). RNAcentral's name for it is "long non-coding RNA (SMIL_LNC011352)". Lineage: Eukaryota; Viridiplantae; Streptophyta; Magnoliopsida; Lamiales; Lamiaceae. The record is from RNAcentral.